This 732-nucleotide ribosomal RNA is filed under the name uncultured bacterium. RNAcentral's name for it is "bacterial SSU rRNA". It matches the Rfam family "Bacterial small subunit ribosomal RNA", at positions 28 to 773 of the family's 1533-position model. The record is from RNAcentral.
GACGAACGCUGGCGGCGCGCCUAACACAUGCAAGUCGAACGAGCGAGAGAGAGCUUGCUUUCUCGAGCGAGUGGCGAACGGGUGAGUAACGCGUGAGGAACCUGCCUCAAAGAGGGGGACAACAGUUGGAAACGACUGCUAAUACCGCAUAAGCCCACGGGUCGGCAUCGACCAGAGGGAAAAGGAGCAAUCCGCUUUGAGAUGGCCUCGCGUCCGAUUAGCUAGUUGGUGAGGUAACGGCCCACCAAGGCGACGAUCGGUAGCCGGACUGAGAGGUUGAACGGCCACAUUGGGACUGAGACACGGCCCAGACUCCUACGGGAGGCAGCAGUGGGGAAUAUUGCACAAUGGGGGAAACCCUGAUGCAGCGACGCCGCGUGGAGGAAGAAGGUCUUCGGAUUGUAAACUCCUGUUGUUGGGGAAGAUAAUGACGGUACCCAACAAGGAAGUGACGGCUAACUACGUGCCAGCAGCCGCGGUAAAACGUAGGUCACAAGCGUUGUCCGGAAUUACUGGGUGUAAAGGGAGCGCAGGCGGGAAGACAAGUUGGAAGUGAAAUCUAUGGGCUCAACCCAUAAACUGCUUUCAAAACUGUUUUUCUUGAGAAGUGCAGAGGUAGGCGGAAUUCCCGGUGUAGCGGUGGAAUGCGUAGAUAUCGGGAGGAACACCAGUGGCGAAGGCGGCCUACUGGGCACCAACUGACGCUGAGGCUCGAAAGUGUGGGUAGCAACC